UACGGGGGGAGCAAGCGUUGUUCGGAUUUACUGGGCGUAAAGGGCGCGUAGGCGGCCACUGCAAGUCAGUUGUGAAAUCUCCGGGCUUAACCCGGAAAGGUCAGCUGAUACUGCAGGGCUAGAGUGCAGAAGGGCAACUGGAAUUCUCGGUGUAGGCGGUGAAAUGCGUAGAUAUCGAGAGGAACACCUGCGGCGAAGGCGGGUGCUGGGCUGA
RNAcentral lists this ribosomal RNA (214 nucleotides) under uncultured bacterium. RNAcentral describes it as "partial 16S ribosomal RNA". It matches the Rfam family "Bacterial small subunit ribosomal RNA", at positions 524 to 737 of the family's 1533-position model. The record is from RNAcentral.